UGGGGUGUCGCCAAGCGGUAAGGCAGCGGACUCUGACUCCGUUAUUCCGAGGGUUCAAAUCCUUCCACCCCAACCA
Molecule: transfer RNA, 76 nt
Filed under: Ruminococcus sp.
Lineage: Bacteria; Bacillati; Bacillota; Clostridia; Eubacteriales; Oscillospiraceae
Also listed under: 2 other names
Description: tRNA-Gln
Rfam family: tRNA
About the family: Transfer RNA (tRNA) molecules are approximately 80 nucleotides in length. Their secondary structure includes four short double-helical elements and three loops (D, anti-codon, and T loops).
Source: RNAcentral